UAGAGGUGCGUGCGUGUGUGUUCCUGCGAGCAUAUAGAUUACGUCUCUCUCUCUCCCUCCCUCUCUCUCUUUUGCUUGGUGAAGAAGAGGGGUCUUGUAAUUGAUUUGUUCCUACCGAAUCGAAAGCAAAGUUUUGAUCUUUUGUCGUCCGUUGGUUCUGUUUGCAACCCUAAACUCUCCCGACACACGUUUGUUUUGGAUCUAUUCGCUUGUUUUUGUAAUAAUGCGACCGUUUAUGUCUGGCACGAGAGCUUUGUUCAGCCUAAUAUCAUGUCGAAACGCAAUCAGGAGUCGUGGCGGGAUCGGUGAGAGGAGUUUUAAAUCGAAUCGAAUUGGGUCUCUUUCGGGGGUAGUAGAGAGAUGCUCAUCACACGGGUCCAUGUCCAAUGAAGACGAUGCUAGAAGAUUCUCUCUCGGGACAGGGAGGUUAAUUCAGAGACGGCAUUUUCUGGGUUGCGGAGAUGGGGAGGAAGGCGGUGGUGGUGAGUUAUCCAAGAUCUACGAAGAGCGUCGUGUCUUGGGGUAUUCUCAGGAGCAAUUGUUUAAUGUAGUUCUAGCUGUAGACUUGUACCACGGCUUUGUUCCUUGGUGUCAACGCUCAGAGGUUCUUAAACAAUAUCCUGAUGGCUCUUUUGACGCUGAACUGGAGAUUGGUUUCAAGUUUCUCGUUGAGAGUUACAUCUCCCAUGUUGAAUUCGAGAGACCCAAAUGGAUUAAGACAACAGCGAGGGACACCGGCCUGUUUGACCAUUUAAUCAACCUCUGGCAAUUUAAGCCAGGUCCCAUUCCAGGAACCUGCGAGCUUUCUAUCCUUGUCGAUUUCAAAUUCAACUCUCCUCUCUAUCGCCAGGUGGCUUCGAUGUUCUUAAAGGAGGUAGCAACAAGACUCAUCGGGGCAUUUAGUGACCGAUGCCGACUUGUGUAUGGUCCUGGAGUUCCAGUCGAUGAAAACUCAUGAACAAAAAGCUUGAUACAACAUAUAUAUUAUUAUAUAAUGGAACUAACAAUAUCAGGAAUAAGCUUUCAAAAGCUAAAAAAAUGAAGUAGAGAGGAAUUCAAUUAGAUGGAAAUUGAACACUAUAAAACGAAAUCAAAGAUGUUAAAGUCCAGUCAUAACCAUUGAACUCAAUGGUUUCUUUAGUCCGGUGUGUUAGUCUUUAAGAUAUGUUUUUUUCCCUUAAAACCAAUGUUCCGUUUGAUUGUAUGUGGUUAAAAUAAAGUCUUUUAAAAGAUAUAGAAACACAGCUUACAUAUUUGGAAGAGAUUGAUAUUUCGAAUGGCAUAAGUUAUGUGCCCCA
This is an RNA transcript of Brassica napus (rape), 1298 nucleotides long. It is a transcript of the gene named coenzyme Q-binding protein COQ10 homolog, mitochondrial, with no coding region annotated. The transcript has 5 exons. The record is from RefSeq and is a predicted model, not a curated record. Lineage: Eukaryota; Viridiplantae; Streptophyta; Magnoliopsida; Brassicales; Brassicaceae.